GGGUGAUCGCGGCUCACCUGGAGAUCCUGGUUUUCCAGGUCCCCCUGGCCCCCCCGGUCCACAAGGGGGCCAGAAAGGUGAGAAAGGAGAACAUGGGGAGCUUGGAAAGAGGGGAAAACCUGGCAAAGAUGGUGAACAAGGCCUCCCUGGAUAUCCGGGUGAUAAAGGAGAACCAGGUCCUCCUGGUCUGUCGGGGCGAG
Molecule: long non-coding RNA, 200 nt
Filed under: Sinocyclocheilus anshuiensis
Lineage: Eukaryota; Metazoa; Chordata; Actinopteri; Cypriniformes; Cyprinidae
Description: lncRNA (ENSSANG00000024861.1)
Source: RNAcentral